AUUUUGUAAAGUUCAUUCUAGAAAACGUAUUUCAUAACAUGUCAAAAUUCUCAGAGAAUGGUAUGCUUUGAAGCUUCGACACGCCUCUUAAAUGGUGUGUCCCUGAAGUCCCUUGAAUGGUCCUACGGCAAGAGGCUUAAUUGAUGUUGCGAUUAGGUUGGCAGCAAAAGAAAGGUUUCAUUUUGAGCCUUUUCUCUCGUAGUGUAGCACUCCAAUCAGGUAAUUUUCGUCCAUUCGUAAAUGCAAGAUUUGCAGCAAUGCGUAAAACUGUCGAUGGGGGUUUCGAAGUCUAAAGAAAUUGUCCAUGGGAGUAUUACAUGGUUUGGUUGUUAAUAGUCCUGCUCUUAAAGUAAGUCUGUGAUAAAUAGUUUGUAAACAGAAUUUAUAUUCUGUAAUUGUUGGCUAAUUCUGCAGUAGGAUGAAAUUGAGCUGUAUAAAGACAAUUUUGCAGAUUACAGAUUAUAUUCUGUAAUCUGUAAUGCUUAUUACAUCUGCUUUGCAUAUUUAAAUUUUGGCUUAUGUUUUAUGCUUCUUACAGCUUAUGGGGCUUUUUCCUGGUGGCAUUGAGAUUGCCUUUGAAGCAAAUAAGAAAAUCUUUCAUCUCGAAUUCAGAGUCAUUGUCUGAUUUAAUGCACUUGAUCUUAGCAUUGAACUGAAUCUCUACUAAUCAGCAGAAAGACUCUAUCAAGUUAGCAACUUCUGAUUUGUGUUUCAUGCAAAGAGUCCACAUAUGCUUUUAUCGGACGUUUACAAGCUUUUUUGUUGUUGAUGAAAACCAACAUCUAGAACUGUAAGAAAAUAUCUGAAGUCAAAAAUAGAAGGGCAUCCAUGCGGACAAGGUCAAAUAAUUGGUUUGAUUUCAUGGAAGCUGAAACUGAGUAUAGCAGAAACAAUUUGUUGCAUCUGAAUCCGGAAUUCCAGUUUUAUUUCUAGAGCAAUUGGAAAUAGCACAACUUGAUGCAUCAUUUUUCUGUCGACAAGAGGAGCUGGGUGUUAGCUGAUUGACAGCUUAUGACCUUUGCAUACUUUUUAGCAAGGGAAGAGUCAGUGUGUGCAGCUCAAGUCUAAACCCAGAUGUGUUACAUGGUCUUGGUUUUGAUCAUCAUCUCCUUCCUUGUGAUGCUAAACUUUGACCAUCAUCAAUUUCUUCCUAAUCUACUGCACAAUUGACAUUGGUCUUCUCUUAAUCAAGAAACUAUAGUUUUGUUGUAAAAGCAUGUUGUAAUAACUGUCAAUUGUGUGACCAACUAUGUUACGAAAGGAACUAAUUUUGGCUUUUGAAUACUUCCAUCAAGAAACUCCAUUCAGUUCUUUGAUCUCAAAUAAGGUUGAGUAAUUCAAGUUGCAA
Molecule: small RNA, 1348 nt
Filed under: Vigna angularis var. angularis
Lineage: Eukaryota; Viridiplantae; Streptophyta; Magnoliopsida; Fabales; Fabaceae
Description: Non-protein coding transcript
Source: RNAcentral